ACUCUAUACAUAAUUUACAUUCUUAACACUGUUUAAAAACUGGUUAAUCUAUAGUUUCAGAUGAGGAAACAGGCUUAGAGAUUAAUGAUCUACAGUGAAUGGUAUAUAGUUUUAAACCUAUAUCUGUUUGGCUUGAAGGCUUUGCCUUUAGAUGCUAAACAGCAGCUUAAAUGAACUUGAGCAUACUAUCAAUUCCUUAUGUUGCACAACUGGAGCUUUGUGCAGAUAAAUGGAAAAACCAGAUCAUUGUUCUUGGUAUCAGCUGCCAAUACAACUUAUGCUCAGAAGAGGCCUCUUUUGGUUCUGUCUCUAAGGAGCUGCCGCUCAAGUAACUUCCGCUUGCAUGAAGACACAACUCUUGUGACAAUAUCUGCCAUGGAACAAGACCUCAAAAGAGGUCACCUGCAGCCUGGAUCAUGAUGGGACGUUUUGUGUUUUAUAGCACCGUGCCAUGGAUAAUCUAACUAUCUGGGUUCAACUCUGAAUUCCGUGUGAAACUGAAAACAACACUUCUUCUCAUAAAGCUUCAGGUUUCCUCCUGCAAGACGGGGAUAAUAAUGGGGGGCGGGGAAGGGUUUCUGUGUGCCAGGCUCAUGUGUAGAUUGGAUGAUGGAAUGUAUCCCGAACAUGUAGCACUGGCCUUAGCUCCCCAAUUACUGUAUUAAAUCAGAGAAUUGUAGGCUGAUUGCUCACUUUCUCCUUGUCCUGGAAACAAUGCUUUGCAGACGGUAGGUGCUCAAAGGAGUGUGAGCAAGUGAGUUAUGAAAGACAGAAUCAAGAGUAUAAUGAAGCUAGAGAGCUAGGCAGGGGGGAUCAUAUAGGGCGGGCCUGUGGGUUAUGAUUGAUAUACCUGUGUUUUAUUUUUCGUAGGGCAGAACGUUCUAUGACCGUACAGAAGAAUUACACAGUCUGCUUAUGCUUUUUAAAAAGCACCCUGGUUUCUGAGCUGAGAAAGCGCUAGAGCUGAACAGCUGUUAAAUCAUGUAGACAUAGAGCUGUUGCAGUGACUUUGGUGGGCAAGAGCAUGGUGCUAGGGGCAGUGUGGAUGGACAGGGAGGGAUGCAUCUAUGGUAUGUUUUUGAGGAAAGAACAGUAGGACGUGGCUGAUGUGGGUUUUAGAGCAGACACUGAGACUGACUUCCCAAAAUAU
This 1150-nucleotide long non-coding RNA is filed under the name Meriones unguiculatus (Mongolian gerbil). RNAcentral describes it as "lncRNA (ENSMUGG00000021227.1)". The record is from RNAcentral. Lineage: Eukaryota; Metazoa; Chordata; Mammalia; Rodentia; Muridae.